This is an RNA transcript of Hipposideros armiger (great roundleaf bat), 4005 nucleotides long. It is a transcript of the gene named IQ motif containing K, with no coding region annotated. The record is from RefSeq and is a predicted model, not a curated record. The transcript has 12 exons. NCBI's taxonomy places the organism in Eukaryota, Metazoa, Chordata, Mammalia, Chiroptera, Hipposideridae.
GCCGAGCGGGGCGCGCGGUUGCCGGGGAAACCGCGGCGAUGGCGGCGCCGGGGCCGGUGGGCAGCCGCGCCGCCCAGCGUGAGGAGCCGGCCGGCUCCGCGGAGUCGUCCGUCGCCACCAGGACGCCGGUGCCCACUGUGUCCUCCGUGUCCCCCAAGCAGCCCGUGUCGCCGGCGCAGGUUGCGGAGUCUCCGGGCAAGAGCCUGUGGGAGCAGAUUUGCGAGGAGUAUGAAGCUGAGCUGCCUCCUUUUCCAGAGGGCUACAAAGUCCAGCCAGACGCUACGACUGCUGCUGCACCCCUGGAGGAAAUGGUUUUCCCUCGCGUCAAAACAGCGCACGUUUAUUCAGUUCCCCAUUCUACCAGGGACUCACAUACGCUCUGCACUCCAGUCACAUUGGAAACAGUCGAUCCAAAAACAUGCUCCCCCAGAGAAUUUUUGGAAACAUUCAUCUUUCCAGUUCUGCUUCCCGGCAUGGCCAGCCUGCUUCACCAGGCAAAGAAAGAGAAAUGUUUUGAGAGGAAAAGAACCAAAUUCAUUGCCUGUGAUUUUCUGACUGAGUGGCUAUACAAUCAAAAUCCAAAGAGGACAGGGGCGCCCUUCACAGAAUUCUUCUCCAUCCCGUUUGUGGAGCAGUGGCUGAAGGAACACCCACGGCCGCCAGUCCCGCUGUCCCUCCUGCUGACAGAAGUGGAAGCAGUUCUGCGCAUUCAGGCCUUUUGGAGAGCUUAUCGGGUUCGCUGCGACGCUGAGAUUCAAGAACUGCGUCAGUGGCAGAAGAAACUGCGUGAGGAGCAGCACAUUCGCCAGCGAGUCAGAAUUUUCUGGGCCAAACAGGAGCAGAAAGGGGUUCCCACUACCAGGGAGUCCCUGGGGAGUCCCCGGGGCUCAGAUAAAGAGGAUCCUGUUCUAGAAGGAGCCGAGGAAGAGGUGGCAGGAUCUCAGGAACUGGCCAGGCCCCUGGCCUCUGCUCAUCCCCUGAAGGGUCCUCUGGGUUCCUGGAGGUGAUCCCCACGCUGCCCUCCCAAGUCAGUCACCUGCACCAGGUCUCAGGCUCUGCUCUCAGGGGAACCCAACCAAGAUGCACAUCCAACAUGCCAGAGAAAAACUGCAGCUCAGAGAGGUAAAGUACUCAAAGCCACACAUCCAGGAAGUGGCCGAAGCAGGAUCUGAACCCAGACAUCUGACUCAGGGGUCCAAAUUCCUACACUCUUGGUUCCGGAUGUCAGGGACCGGGCACGAGCAUUGUCCCUCCCCCUCUACAUUUGGGCUGCAACCACGGACACUUCCAGGGAGCCAGGAUCCUGAGAGCAGCUCCUAUCCUGCCUUGGCCGUGAGGCCAUUGACUGGGAUAAAUUAUUGAUGCCACCGACCCAGAAGGGGCCUGGUGCUGCGGGGACCGUCACCUUUGCCUAUCGAUAAGAGAAGGCGGGCUCAGAACGGAAGGCGUCUGGCAAGAGAUGGUCCUUACACAAGCAUCCCAGCAUCCCACUCAAGCAAAUUAGAGGUGACGAUGCACCCCAAACAUUGGCAAUGGGGCCCACGGUCUAGCCACUAUUCAUGGCCCUGCCACGUCGGUCACUGGAGUGCCACUGCAGCUACUUAUCUCUUGUCUACACACCACCUGUGCAGUUAUUUACUUAACCGACUCACCAAGUCCUUGAAAUCGACUCACUUAAAAGAAAACUCAACACAUUGAAAUACUUAUCUCUCGAAAUGUUAAAAUUGCUUGUUGACGUAACUCACAUUGUAUGCCCAGUGGUAUAUCCCAACAUACUACCCUUUGGAAAAAUAUCGUCCUGGCCAGAGCCGCUUGUCACAAAGUCCUGUAAACGUGAUGGGGGUGAAAAUUCAACAACCGGAGAUGUGGAAACAGAAUGCCAUCAGCGCCCCUGACAGGGUGAAGGGGCCCUACACUGUCGUUCCCCCAGACAUCUCAUCAAUGCCAAAAGCGAUUACAAGACUUCUCAGAACUUGGCCUUCGUUGGCUGCCUCCACUCACUCGCUUGAGAUUUCCUCUCUCCAGACCUGCCUACAAACUGGGACUUGGUUUCCCCAGCUCCUCCUCCUACCCGGCUGGCCUUCCAGCCACAACAGGAAACCAACGGGGGAUGAUGAAAAAAGCCAAGAUGGCGACCAUGCUUCUGGCCCCGGUCCAGGUCUCUCGCUUCCACUCCUGACGUGGUCAACGGACACACCCUUGAUUUCUGCUUUCAUUCCUGAGCGUGGAACGCGCUGUUUCCGGGACAGCUGUUGUUUUUGUUGCCUAGUGUCCAUUUAUUUGUCCCGUUUCUGAAAGGAGUUCCUGAUUGCCCUUCGGAAAGCCACCUCAAGCCCUAGCGCCGAGCACCUGACCCAGGCCUUGCCAAUCAGAGCUUUUGUCCUGCCCUUUGGCCACACGAUGGGUUCAUGGACAGAUGCAUGGCCCCAUCAGACCCGUGAUAAUCAGCCUUAGGCUGUUUGGUACAAUGAACUGGAAGGCGGUCUUCUCUUUCUGUUAGGGGUUGAUAAGCUAGAAGGGGGUAGGCCUGGAGCUGUAGAGGACCUAUUUACCGUCAUAGGGAGAGGACCUGUGCCAGAGUAAAGCUGACCCAGAGGCCAAGUGAUGGAAUAGAGUCCUAAUACAUUGAUUGGCUGGAUUCAGCCAUGCCUAAAGCCAGAUACCCUGGUCUUCGCAGUUCUAGCAGCCAGUUAUGUUUCCUUUUUUGGAUUAAGCCAGUCUGAGCUGAGUUUGUGUUACUUGCCAACAGAGAAGUUCUGUUAUUCCUCCAACGCCAUGUGGCCCUCUUCUUCCGGGAAGUCCUCUGUACCCAGUACCUAGGCAGCCAGGGGCUUUGGCAGGGUCCAGCUCAAGUGGGUCGUUAGCGUUGCCAAGGAUGCCCAGGAGUUGACAGCCACCCCAAUCUAUAGAACCCUUGUCCAUGGUGACUGGGAGGCCUACAGACUGCCUCACAGAAUAAAGCCGAGUUUGGCCCACCUAGGAUUUUUGGAGGGUUCAAAAUUGCCCUGCAGAGUUUUCUGUUUCUGCCAGUGACAGUGGCAAUGACUGUUGAACCCUGGUGCUUCCUAUGCUCCAGGCGCUCUUCUGUACUCUUCACAUACGAGUAUAUUAAUGCCUUUAUCAUCUGUACAAUGAUGCUAUAAAGCAAGUACCAUUACUAUCUUCAUUUUACAGGAAAUAAAACAGGGAGGUCAGCUGGCUUGUCCAAGGUCACACAGCUAGAAAGCAGAGCCAAGAGACAAACAAGUGCACUGUUGUUACUGGGCUCUUACCGCAGGCCAGGGCUCUAGAAAUGUCACCUGGCGAGCCCUUUGCUGGCAGUCUGUCUGAACUAGGUUCUCCCGCCCUUUAUGCUCUGUGCCAGUACUUUGGAUCUUUGUUGCAUGUGCCACAAUUUUCAAUUAUUUUAUUCCUCUUUCAGUCUGUACCCCCACCCCCACACCCUAGUUCGUCUUGUUUUGCAUCGAUACCCCAAUGCCUGGCACACGGGCAGGGCUCACAGCCCAGUUGCUGAAUGAAUGAAUUGCUAAAUAGGGUCUCCGACCCUCAUGUCACCAGCAGACAGCUGCUCUCACUGCCAUCUACCAGAGGAGGGGAUGGACGGUCUCAGAGGUUUCGGUCAAAGUUUGAUCCUUGGAAGACAACAGCACCAGCAUCACCCAGGAACUUGUUAGAAGGCGGACUAUUGGGGAGGGGGCCCAGCCCCCCAUGUCCGCAAGCCCCAAGGGUACGCAGAUGCUGGGGCACACUGAGGACAGGGGCGGCAGGGGCGCCCACUGUCAGGUAAGCCCGUCCUGCUGCACCAGCCAGCCACCUGGUGCCUCCCACCCUGGUGGGCUGAGCUGCUCUCCAGGAACCCCAAACUGAACAAUACAGAUGAGAGGUUCCGAGUCAGCCGCCAGGCAAGGCUGACUAGGGCAGGAUGAAUAUAUGGCAACAAACCCGUGGGAUGGAGGCGUGCAGCUCCUCCAAAGGAGUCAUGAAUAAAUGCGAACGAAUGUGCAA